AUUGAACGCUGGCGGCAGGCCUAACACAUGCAAGUCGAGCGAAUGAAGCGAGCUUGCUCCUGGAUGCAGCAGCAGAGGGGGGGGUCAUGCCUAUUGAUCUGCCUUAGAGUUGGGGAUAACGUCGGAAAACGGGCUCUAAUACCUCAUGCGACCUGAGAGCGAAAAUGGGGGGUCUUCGGACCGCACGCUAUCAGAGGAGCCUAGGUCGGAUUAGCUAGUUGGUGGGGUAACGGCCUAACGAGGCGACGAUGCGUAACUGGUAUGAGAGGAUGACCAGUCACAUUGGAACUGAGAAACGGCCCAGACUCCCACGGGAGGACGCAGUGGGGAAUAUUGGACAAUGGGCGAAAGCCUGAUCCAGCAAUGCGGCGUGUGUGAAGAAGGUCUUCGGAUUGGAAAGCACUUUAAGUUGGGAGGAAGGGAAGCAAGUUCAUCUCUUGAUGUUUUGACGUUACCAACAGAAGAAGCACCGGCUAACUUCGUG
RNAcentral lists this ribosomal RNA (484 nucleotides) under uncultured bacterium. RNAcentral's name for it is "partial 16S ribosomal RNA". It matches the Rfam family "Bacterial small subunit ribosomal RNA", at positions 30 to 507 of the family's 1533-position model. The record is from RNAcentral.